Molecule: transfer RNA, 69 nt
Filed under: Marmota monax (woodchuck)
Lineage: Eukaryota; Metazoa; Chordata; Mammalia; Rodentia; Sciuridae
Description: tRNA.Ala
Rfam family: tRNA (bases 4-64)
About the family: Transfer RNA (tRNA) molecules are approximately 80 nucleotides in length. Their secondary structure includes four short double-helical elements and three loops (D, anti-codon, and T loops).
Source: RNAcentral
UGCUGCAGCUCAGAGGUAGAGCAUUUGCCUGGCAUGCACAAGGCCCUGGGUCCAAUCCCCAGCAAGGAA